Molecule: ribosomal RNA, 234 nt
Filed under: uncultured bacterium
Lineage: Bacteria
Description: partial 16S ribosomal RNA
Rfam family: Bacterial small subunit ribosomal RNA
Source: RNAcentral
CCGGCACGGUGAGUAACACGUAUCCAACCUGCCGUCUACUCUUGGCCAGCUCUGAAGAAGAUUAAUCCAGGAUGGCAUCAUGAGUUCACAUGUCCGCAUGAUUAAAGGUAUUUUCCGGUAGACGAUGGGGAUGCGUUCCAUUAGAUAGUAGGCGGGGUAACGGCCCACCUAGUCAACGAUGGAUAGGGGUUCUGAGAGGAAGGUCCCCCACAUUGGAACUGAGACACGGUCCAA